UGGUUAAACAAGGGAUAGAAGAGCGUUAAGAGAACGGUCUGGAAAGGCCGGCCAAAGAGGGUGACAGCCCCGUAUUUGAAAAUGCAAUUCUCCUCUCAGUGGCUCCUGAGUAUCGCGGGACACGUGGAACCCAGCGAGAAACUACCGGGACCAUCCGGUAAGGCUAAAUACUCUCUUGCGACCGAUAGUGAACUAGUACCGUGAGGGAAAGGUGAAAAGAACCCCUGCGAGGGGAGUGAAAUAGUACCUGAAACCGCAUGCCUACAAGCAGUGGGAGGACUAUGCCAUGCAAAUGGAAUGUCUGACCACGUGCCUAUUGAAUAAUGAGCUGGCUAGUUAGUCUCAGUGGCAAGGUUAAGCGAAAGCGAGCCGAAGCGAAAGCGAGUCUGAAUAGGGCGAUUGAGUCGCUGGGAUUAGACGCGAAGCGGGAUGAUCUAUCCUUGGCCAGGAUGAAGGCCGUGUAACAGCGGCUGGAGGUCCGAACCAGUGUUGGUUGAAAACAGCUUGGAUGAGCUGAGGAUAGGGGUGAAAGGCUAAUCAAAUUCCGUGAUAGCUCGUUCUCUCCGAAAUAGCUUUAGGGCUAGCCUCGUAUGAUCCGUCCCGGUGGUAGAGAACUGAAUGGACUAGGGGCCUUUCCAGGUUACCGAAUCCAACCAAACUUCGAAUGCCGGGAACGUGUAAUACGGGAGUCAGACUGCGAGGGCUAAGCUUCGUGGUCGAAAGGGGAAGAGCCCAGACCGUCAACUAAGGCCCCCAAAUCUAUGCUAAGUGGUAAAGGAAGUCGGGAGGCUCAGACAGCCAGGAGGUUGGCUUAGAAGCAGCCAUCCUUUAAAGAAAGCGUAAUAGCUCACUGGUCGAGCACCCCGGUACCGACAAUCCAACGGGGCUUAAGCAUAGUGCCGAAGUUACGGAUGCAUCAUCUUAGGAUGAUGCGUGGUAGGAGAGCAUUCCCACAGCAGUGAAGGUCGACCGUGAGGACGGCUGGAGCGGUGGGAAGAGACUCUGCCAGCAUAAGUAGCGAUAAACCAGGUGAGAACCCUGGUCGCCGUAAGUCUAAGGUUUCCUGAGAAAGGUUAAUCCGCUCAGGGUUAGUCAGUGCCUAAGGCGAGGCCGAUAGGCGUAGCCGAUGGACACACGGUUAAUAUUCCGUGACCACCAAAACUCGAUCAAGACCGAUGGGGGGACGCAGACCGUAAGCCUGGGGGCGAAAUGGUUACAAACCCAGGUGAAGGGAGAUCCGGAAAGGCAAAUCCGCCGGAUCGUCUGCCAGGAAAAUCCUCUAAGGAGAGUUAGGUGACUGUACCACAAACGGACACACGUGGACGAGAUGAGUAUUCUCAGGCGCUCGGGUGAUGAGUUGUUAAGGAACUAGGCAAAUUAACCCCGUAACUUCGGGAGAAGGGGUGCCCAUGCAAAUGGGCCGCAGUGAAUAGCGUCAGGCGACUGUUUAACAAAAACACAGGUCUCUGCUAAGUCGAAAACGAUGUAUAGGGGCUGACGCCUGCCCGGUGCCGGAAGGUUAAAGGGAGUGGUUAGCGCAAGCGAAGCUACGAACUGAAGCCCCGGUGAACGGCGGCCGUAACUAUAACGGUCCUAAGGUAGCGAAAUUCCUUGUCGGGUAAGUUCCGACCUGCACGAAUGGCGUAACGAUCUG
Molecule: ribosomal RNA, 1654 nt
Filed under: metagenome
Description: bacterial LSU rRNA
Rfam family: Bacterial large subunit ribosomal RNA
Source: RNAcentral